AGUCACUGACAUUAGAUACCCCUGUAGUCCCAGCCGUAAACAAUGUGCGUUAGGUGCGUCGGUAACCACGCGUUACUGAUGCGCCGAAGAGAAAUCGUGAAACGCACCACCUGGGAAGUACGGUCGCAAGGCUGAAACUUAAAGGAAUUGGCGGGGAGCACCACAACAGGUGGAGCCUGCGGUUUAAUUGGAUUCAACGCCGGACAUCUCACCGGAUAAGACAGCUGAAUGAUUGUCAAUCUGAAGGUUUUACAUGACUAGCUG
This 264-nucleotide ribosomal RNA is filed under the name uncultured archaeon. RNAcentral's name for it is "partial 16S ribosomal RNA". It matches the Rfam family "Archaeal small subunit ribosomal RNA", at positions 718 to 982 of the family's 1478-position model. The record is from RNAcentral.